GACGAACGCUGGCGGCGUGCCUAAUACAUGCAAGUAGAACGCACAGUUUAUACCGUAGCUUGCUACACCAUAGACUGUGAGUUGCGAACGGGUGAGUAACGCGUAGGUAACCUGCCUGGUAGCGGGGGAUAACUAUUGGAAACGAUAGCCAAUACCGCAUAAUAUUGAUUAUUGCAUGAUAAUUGAUUGAAAGAUGCUAUUGCAUCACUACCAGAUGGACCUGCGUUGUAUUAGCUAGUAGGUGAGGUAACGGCUCACCUAGGCGACGAUACAUAGCCGACCGGGGAGGGUGGUCGGCCACACGGGGACGGGGACACGGCCCAGACUCCUACGGGAGGCAGCAGUAGGGAAUCUUAGGCAAUGGACGAAAGUCUGACCGAACAACGCCGCGUGAGUGAAGAAGGUUUUCGGAUCGUAAAGCUCUGUUGUAAGAGAAGAACGGGUGUGAGAGUGGAAAGUUCACAUUGUGACGGUACCUGACCAGAAAGGGACGGCUAACUACGUG
This 505-nucleotide ribosomal RNA is filed under the name uncultured bacterium. RNAcentral's name for it is "partial 16S ribosomal RNA". It matches the Rfam family "Bacterial small subunit ribosomal RNA", at positions 28 to 507 of the family's 1533-position model. The record is from RNAcentral.